GACGAACGCUGGCGGCGCGCUUAACACAUGCAAGUCGAGCGAGAACCAGGCCUUCGGGCCUGGGGAAAGCGGCGAACGGGUGAGUAACACGUGGGUAACCCACCCUUGGUACCGGGAUAGCCCGGGGAAACCCGGAUUAAUACCGGAUGGCCCAACAGCUCUUCGGGGCGGUUGGAAAAGGUAGCUUCGGCCUCCGACCAAGGACGGGCCCGCGGCGGAUUAGCUUGUUGGCGGGGUAACGGCCCACCAAGGCGACGAUCCGUAGCUGGUCNGAGAGGACGAUCAGCCACACUGGGACUGAGACACGGCCCAGACUCCUACGGGAGGCAGCAGUGGGGAAUCUUGCGCAAUGGGCGAAAGCCUGACGCAGCGACGCCGCGUGCGGGAAGAAGGCCUUAGGGUUGUAACCGCUUUCAGGAGGGACGAAGCCACUCGGGUUAAUAGCCCAGAGGGUGACGGUACCUCCAGAAGAAGCCCCGGCUAACUACGUGCCAGCCGCCGCCGUAAU
RNAcentral lists this ribosomal RNA (508 nucleotides) under uncultured bacterium. RNAcentral's name for it is "bacterial SSU rRNA". It matches the Rfam family "Bacterial small subunit ribosomal RNA", at positions 28 to 524 of the family's 1533-position model. The record is from RNAcentral.